ACAGCUUUGGACAAAAGUCUAUAGCCAGUGCAUUCGUAACUCCCCAUGCACAAGAGCUGACUGUGGCUCUGGGAAGACAUUUUCCUCAUUUGAUUUCUUUUUUCUCAUAGUCUUCUUGUGCAGUUCUCAGGURUCUGCCACCUAUUAGACUUCCACCUGUGUGGGUCCUGUGCUUGAGAGAGUCCCAGGACUUGUCAGCUGGUAUAGGCCUCAUAAAAGACAGCUCU
RNAcentral lists this long non-coding RNA (227 nucleotides) under Dromaius novaehollandiae (emu). RNAcentral describes it as "SOX2 overlapping transcript exon 1 (ENSDNVG00000017060.1)". It matches the Rfam family "SOX2 overlapping transcript exon 1". From Rfam's summary of the family: SOX2 overlapping transcript (SOX2OT) is a long non-coding RNA, containing at least 5 exons. The SOX2 gene, an important regulator of neurogenesis, lies within one of the introns of SOX2OT. Lineage: Eukaryota; Metazoa; Chordata; Aves; Casuariiformes; Dromaiidae. The record is from RNAcentral.